RNAcentral lists this ribosomal RNA (432 nucleotides) under uncultured eukaryote. RNAcentral describes it as "eukaryotic LSU rRNA". It matches the Rfam family "Eukaryotic large subunit ribosomal RNA", at positions 2232 to 2681 of the family's 3401-position model. The record is from RNAcentral.
UCAAACAAGCGCGGGUAAAACGGCGGGAGUAACUAUGACUCUCUUAAGGUAGCCAAAUGCCUCGUCAUCUAAUUAGUGACGCGCAUGAAUGGAUCAACGAGAUUCCCACUGUCCCUACUUACUAUCUGGUGAAACCGCAGCCAAGGGAACGGACUUGGCAAUAUCAGCGGGGAAAGAAGACCCUGUUGAGCUUGACUCUAGUCCGACUUUGUGAAAUAUCUUUAGGGGUGUAGAAUAAGUGGGAGGGUAACCAAUCUUGAAAUACCACUACCUUAAAUGAUGUUUUACUUAUUUGAUUAUUAGAAAAAUUACUUUAGUAUUAGUAGUCAUUAGACUAUGAUUCUUUUCAAAGACAUUGUCAGAUGGGGAGUUUGGCUGGGGGCGGCACAUUUGCUAAAAGAUAACGCAAGUGUCCAAGAUGAACUCAAUGAG